This 921-nucleotide ribosomal RNA is filed under the name uncultured bacterium. Its description in RNAcentral is "bacterial SSU rRNA". It matches the Rfam family "Bacterial small subunit ribosomal RNA", at positions 8 to 918 of the family's 1533-position model. The record is from RNAcentral.
AGAGUUUGAUCAUGGCUCAGGAUGAACGCUAGCGAUAGGCCUAACACAUGCAAGUCGAGGGGCAGCACAUGAAGUAGCAAUACAGAUGGUGGCGACCGGCGCACGGGUGAGUAACACGUAUGCAACCUACCUUCCACAGGAGAAUAACCCGUUGAAAAACGGACAAAUACUCCAUAAUACAGGGGUCCCGCAUGGGAAUAUUUGUUAAAGAUUUUUUUCGGUAGAAGAUGGGCAUGCGUUCCAUUAGCUAGUUGGUUGAGGUAACGGCUCACCAAGGCAACGAUGGAUAGGGGAACUGAGAGGUUUAUCCCCCACACUGGUACUGAGACACGGACCAGACUCCUACGGGAGGCAGCAGUGAGGAAUAUUGGUCAAUGGAGGCAACUCUGAACCAGCCACGUCGCGUGAAGGAUGACGGCCCUACGGGUUGUAAACUUCUUUUAUACAGGAAUAAAGUGAGUCACGUGUGACUUUUUGCAUGUACUGUAUGAAUAAGGAUCGGCUAACUCCGUGCCAGCAGCCGCGGUAAUACGGAGGAUCCAAGCGUUAUCCGGAUUUAUUGGGUUUAAAGGGUGCGCAGGCGGAAGAUUAAGUCGGCGGUGAAAUUUUGCAGCUCAACUGUAAAAGUGCCAUCGAUACUGGUUUUCUUGAGUGUGGAUGAAGUAGGCGGAAUUUGUGGUGUAGCGGUGAAAUGCAUAGAUAUCACGAGGAACUCCGAUUGCGCAGGCAGCUUACUAGGCCAUAACUGACGCUCACGCACGAAAGCGUGGGGAUCAAACAGGAUUAGAUACCCUGUAGUCCACGCAGUAAACGAUGAUUACUCGCUGUUUGCGAUACACAGUAAGCGGCUUAGCGAAAGCGUUAAGUAAUCCACCUGGGGGAGUACGUUCGCAAGAAUGAAACUCAAAGGAAUUGACGGAA